CCUACGGGAGGCAGCAGUGAGGAAUAUUGGUCAAUGGGCGAGAGCCUGAACCAGCCAAGUCGCGUGAGGGAGUACUGCCCUAUGGGUUGUAAACCUCUUUUGUCGGGGAGCAAAAGCCGGACGUGUCCGGCUGUGAGAGUACCCGAAGAAAAAGCAUCGGCUAACCCCGGGCCAGCAGCCGCGGUAAUACGGAGGAUGCGAGCGUUAUUCGGAUUUAUUGGGUUUAAAGGGUGCGCAGGCGGAUUUUUAAGUCAGCGGUAAAAUCGUGGGGCUCAACCCCAUCCAGCCGUUGAAACUGGGGAUCUAGAGUGUGCGAGAGGUAUGCGGAAUGCGUGGUGUAGCGGUGAAAUGCAUAGAUAUCACGCAGAACCCCGAUUGCGAAGGCAGCAUACCGGUGCACAACUGACGCUCAGGCACGAAAGCGUGGGUAUCGAACAGGAUUAGAUACCCCAGUAGUC
Molecule: ribosomal RNA, 458 nt
Filed under: uncultured bacterium
Lineage: Bacteria
Description: partial 16S ribosomal RNA
Rfam family: Bacterial small subunit ribosomal RNA
Source: RNAcentral